UGAAAGGCGAACUGGCGAAGCAAAUCCUUUUUGGGUUUUCAGACCCAAAAAGAUUGAAACGAAAAGCCCGACCCUUG
RNAcentral lists this small RNA (77 nucleotides) under Flavobacterium caeni. Its description in RNAcentral is "Flavo-1 RNA". The record is from RNAcentral. Lineage: Bacteria; Pseudomonadati; Bacteroidota; Flavobacteriia; Flavobacteriales; Flavobacteriaceae.